GCGAAAGCGUUAAGCAUCCCACUCGGGGAGUACGCCGGCAACGGUGAAACUCAAAGGAAUUGACGGGGGGCCCGCACAAGCGGAGGAACAUGUGGUUUAAUUCGAUGAUACGCGAGGAACCUUACCCGGGCUUGAACUGCCGGCGAACGAUACAGAGAUGUUGAGGCCCUUCGGGGCGCCGGUGGAGGUGCUGCAUGGUUGUCGUCAGCUCGUGCCGUGAGGUGUCGGCUUAAGUGCCAUAACGAGCGCAACCCCUCUCUUUAGUUGCCAUCAGGUUAAGCUGGGCACUCUGAAGACACAGCCACCGUAAGGUGUGAGGAAGGUGGGGAUGACGUCAAAUCAGCACGGCCCUUACGUCCGGGGCUACACACGUGUUACAAUGGGGGGUACAGAAGGUCGGUGUGAUGUAAAUCAUAUCUAAUCCUUAAAGCCCUCCUCAGUUCGGACUGGGGUCUGCAACCCGACCCCACGAAGCUGGAUUCGCUAGUAAUCGCGCAUCAGCCAUGGCGCGGUGAAUACGUUCCCGGGCCUUGUACACACCGCCCGUCAAGCCAUGAAAGCCGGGGGUGCCUGAAGUCCGUGACCGCAAGGAUCGGCCUAGGGCAAAACUGGUGAUUGGGGCUAAGUCGUAACAAGGUA
This 639-nucleotide ribosomal RNA is filed under the name uncultured bacterium. RNAcentral describes it as "bacterial SSU rRNA". It matches the Rfam family "Bacterial small subunit ribosomal RNA", at positions 851 to 1498 of the family's 1533-position model. The record is from RNAcentral.